RNAcentral lists this ribosomal RNA (286 nucleotides) under Rhyncogonus rufulus. RNAcentral describes it as "partial 12S ribosomal RNA". The record is from RNAcentral. Lineage: Eukaryota; Metazoa; Arthropoda; Insecta; Coleoptera; Curculionidae.
UAGUAUUAGUUAUGUUCUUGAAAAUUAAAAAAGUUGGCGGUAUUUUAGUCUAUUUAGAGGAACCUGUUCUAUAAUCGAUAAUCCCCGAUUUGAUUUACUUAUUGUUUAAGUUUGCAUAUCCCCGUAGAUUGAAUAUUUUUAAAGAAAAAGAAAUGUUCAAUAAGUUUUUAAAAAAAGAAUUCAGGUCAAGAUGUAGCAUAUAAAUAAGAAGAGAUGGGUUACAAUAAAUUUAUUUAUAAUGAAUUAAUAAAUUUAAUUUUAUAAUGAAGGUGGAUUUAAAGGUAAU